This is a long non-coding RNA of Bufo bufo (common toad), 186 nucleotides long. RefSeq lists it as uncharacterized. The record is from RefSeq and is a predicted model, not a curated record. NCBI's taxonomy places the organism in Eukaryota, Metazoa, Chordata, Amphibia, Anura, Bufonidae. The transcript has 3 exons.
ACCAGGGCCGUUGAGAAGGUUCCAGAGGCUCCACCAGGGAAGAUGAGGAGUUUGUUGUCCCUCACGUUGAUAACGAGCUCCUCAUCCAACUGGUGGAGGCGCGUCCAUCUUUAUGGGACCACUCCGACCGCCACCACGCUGAUUAUCAUCGCACCCAGCGGCUCUGGAGGAACAUAUGUUCAGAUG